GACGUAGGGUCCAAGCGUUGUCCGGAUUUACUGGGCGUAAAGAGCGCGUAGGCGGUCUGUUAAGUGUAGAGUGAAAUCUCCAGGGCUCAACCCGGAAACUGCUCUGCAUACUGGCAGACUGGAGUGAUGCAGAGGUUUGUGGAAUUCCUGGUGUAACGGUGAAAUGUGUUGAUAUCAGGAGGAACACCCAUGGCGAAGGCAGCAAACUGGGCAUUAACUGACGCUGAGGCGCGAAAGCGUGGGUAGCAAA
RNAcentral lists this ribosomal RNA (250 nucleotides) under uncultured bacterium. RNAcentral describes it as "partial 16S ribosomal RNA". It matches the Rfam family "Bacterial small subunit ribosomal RNA", at positions 524 to 772 of the family's 1533-position model. The record is from RNAcentral.